This 255-nucleotide ribosomal RNA is filed under the name uncultured bacterium. RNAcentral's name for it is "partial 16S ribosomal RNA". It matches the Rfam family "Bacterial small subunit ribosomal RNA", at positions 524 to 776 of the family's 1533-position model. The record is from RNAcentral.
UACGUAGGGUGCAAGCGUUAAUCGGAAUUACUGGGCGUAAAGCGUGCGCAGGCGGUUAUGUAAGACAGGUGUGAAAUCCCCCGGGCUUAACCUGGGAACUGCAUUUGUGACUGCAUAGCUAGAGUACGGCAGAGGGGGAUGGAAUUCCGCGUGUAGCAGUGAAAUGCGUAGAUAUGCGGAGGAACACCGAUGGCGAAGGCAAUCCCCUGGGCCUGUACUGACGCUCCAUGCACGAAAGCGUGGGGAGCAAACAGG